AUAACUAUUUCUGCUCAAUGUAUGAACAGGUUGUAUUGUCAUAAAUGCAUGUUGAACUGAAAGUGUAGGCAAUUUUCUAUCUCAAUAUAUGAUGUACUGCCAUGUUGCAUCGAUGUGGCUCUACAUCUGCGGAAAAAAAUCUCAUUUUUUGAGAUCAAAUCUGAAAUCAAUGAUUGUUAGGUAAUGUUACUUACUCUUUCUUUAUUUUCUGGAUAAACAACUUAAAUCUUAUUAUAAUGUAAUAACUUCACUAGAGUUUUUUUUUGGUUAUCAAAACACUUCACUAGAGUUUUUGCUUUUAAAAGACAUGUGGUAGUGUCUGCUUAUAUUUGGUAAUUCACUAGAUUUUCCAUUUGUGCAUUUUUCUGACAUUUGCAAAUUGAUUUGAUCUUCUCUUUUUGCAGAUUUUACUUGAAUCAUUGUUGGCAUAAGAAUGAGUUAGAUUUUGCUCUCCGAACUCUGGAUAAUAUAGGUUGUAAUAGGCAACUCAGUUGCAAUUCUCUUUCUACUUCUUUUCACGUAAAGAAAUUCGAUGUUUCAUUCAAUUAUGUACAAGCACAAGAUUUUUUUUCCUAAUGCUAACUUUAUGUUUAGUUUGCUUAUACUAUUGUAUUGUUGCAAUGACAAAAGGAAAUCGAAACCAUGCAUGUUGGGCCCG
Molecule: long non-coding RNA, 658 nt
Filed under: Solanum tuberosum (potato)
Lineage: Eukaryota; Viridiplantae; Streptophyta; Magnoliopsida; Solanales; Solanaceae
Description: long non-coding RNA (STUB_LNC008527)
Source: RNAcentral